Molecule: long non-coding RNA, 921 nt
Organism: Oreochromis aureus
Lineage: Eukaryota; Metazoa; Chordata; Actinopteri; Cichliformes; Cichlidae
Source: Ensembl
AACAAAGAGUCCUCUUCUUGUGCAAAUUUGCAGUCAUAUUUCCCUACUGCAUACUUUGUGGUUUUCUCUUAACUUCUUUCCAUUUUGACAUGGUGGGGGAAGCAGGUGCAAUUCAAGCUGUCAGGUUUGAAAUACACAGAGAGGAAAUAGCUGUCUUGUCCCUAUCUGACACCACAGUGCACAUGUAUGUGUGUGCAGACCUCAGGCUUUAAGCUUAUCUUGGAGCUAACGAAUGGAAACACCCUCUGCAAAGAGGCCUUUCAUUUUAGCUUUUAUCUAAUUUUCUGUGUAAAUGUAGCCUACGGGUAUGUAUUGCUGUGUUUAUCAUAUAAAGUCUCCUCCCAUAUUUCUCUCAACACACACCCCACUGGAGAGACAAAUUUGACAAACUUGAACAAAGAACAAAAUAUUGCAUGUUAACAUCAGACGGAGACUGACAUUUCCUUCUUUGUGAAGCAGAAAAGAAAGUUUGUUAGCUUCACAUCCACGAUAAGAAUCUCCUCUUCCACUGAAUCCAAAAGGUGCUCUGUUGGAUUGAGAUCUGGUGAGUGCAGAGGCCAUUUGAGUACAAGUAAUUCAUUGUCAUGUUCAAGAAACCAGUUUGAGAUGAUCUGAGCUUUGUGACAUGGUGCGUUAUCCUGCUGGACGCAGCCAAUGAGGAGAUGGGCACACCAUCAAAAAUUAAGACUCAUUACAAACGCCAACAUUUCUCCAGUCUUCUUUUGUUCAGUUUUGGUGAGCAAGUUAUAGCCUCAGUUUCCUGUUCUUAGCUGACAGGAGCAGUAAGCGAUGUGGUCUUCUGCUGCUGUAGUCCAUUUUGUGCAUUCAGAGAUGGUCUUCUGCAUACCUUCAUUGCUGCAAGUGAAUAUCUGCGUUACUUUCUAUCAUAAAAGUACUUUCACCCUGACAACGACUGCACAC